UGCGUAGGUGGUUGGUUAAGUUUGGGGUGAAAGCUCCGAGCUCAACUCGGAAAAUGCCUUGAAGACUAUCUGACUAGAGGAUUGGAGGGGAGAUUGGAAUUCUCGGUGUAGCAGUGAAAUGCGUAGAUAUCGAGAGGAACACCAGUGGCGAAGGCGAAUCUCUGGACAAUUCCUGACACUGAGGCACGAAAGCCAAGGGAGCAAACG
Molecule: ribosomal RNA, 207 nt
Filed under: uncultured bacterium
Lineage: Bacteria
Description: partial 16S ribosomal RNA
Rfam family: Bacterial small subunit ribosomal RNA
Source: RNAcentral